UAGAUGUUUUCCAAAAGUUUCAGGUUCACUUUGCAUUUCAUGUCAAACUUUAAGAUGUCAAUUUAAUGUUACAAUUUUAACGCAUUUCGCCGCUGGGCCAAGUAUAAGUUGUAAAUUCGGAAACUGGCCAAAGUAAGUUGUUGGAGAAGUUUUAUGUGCGCACUGCAGCCAAGUAAGGCCAAUGGGUGGGGGGAGGUGGCUGCCACCCCCACAGUGCUCCAACCUAAUCCCUGCCAUAAAUUGCUCAAGAUAUUAAGCUUGACUUGCAGUUUGCCUCAACCUAAUGGCUAAUAAUGAAGCAUUAUUAAAAACGUUAUGGCCAUGCACCGAGGGAGGGAUCAGAGUUCAUUGCUUGCACUUUUGCUUGUUGACAUUUAAGACUACUUAAUGUCUGUCCCGACUGUACGCUCCAAUAAUGCAACAACAUGGGGCAGCUGACUGCGGGACUUAAAGCAGCCACGGAGCUCUAGCAGCGAAUGGACAGUUUUGAUAAGGAAUCUUGAAGAGUAGUGUAGCUGUAAGGCAGCCUGAUAUCGCCUCAAUAAUUAAUGGGGAAACAAGGGCAAUUAACGAUGUUGGAGAUUCGUAAUCGAUUCGCGCAUUUGCAGACGACGCAGACGUCGCAUAAAUUGUUAAUAGUCCGCCCUCUGCUGGGCCCCACCCCUUUGGCCACCCGCGGGCGUCCCCAACUCUUACCUUGGGCGAGAACAGACACGCAAUCGUCACGCUGGCAGACAGGCUAAUGGUCACUGACAUGCUCGUUAUGCGGAGCGGCACGUGGUUGGCGGUGCCGAAGUAGAGCGGCACAAAGGCCAGCCAAAUGACGCAGGUGGUGUACAUGGUGAAGCCUGGAACGAAUUAGCAGAUUGAAUGGGCAUUAAGGGCAAGGACUAUUAUAAUUUAAUCGCGGCUUGUAGCAACAUCCGCUGCCAUUAAUAAUAAACACUAGACAGACAAAAAGGAGCAAAAAUAAAGUAGAUAAAAGUUUACACAAAUAUUUAAUAUAAACUUUAAGAUUCUACCAAAAUUUAAGAGCCAUUCACAGGCAGGUGUGCAUUAAAAAUAAGUAUUAUUACUCACC
Long non-coding RNA from Drosophila mojavensis, 1081 nucleotides. RefSeq lists it as uncharacterized. The transcript is spliced from 2 exons. The record is from RefSeq and is a predicted model, not a curated record. NCBI's taxonomy places the organism in Eukaryota, Metazoa, Arthropoda, Insecta, Diptera, Drosophilidae.